CCGGGGGCGGCCGCUUUUCUUUCUUCGGUGUAUUUUCUUCCAAGGCAACUUCACCAGUGAAAGUGCAGCGUCGAGCUCUGAUUGCUCCUUGUGCGGAUGGUGUCUGUCCUCGGCCGUGCGCACAGCAGCUUUCAGGCGAGGAAUGGGACUAUUCCAGGGUGAGGACAAAAAUUUUGAGCCUGUUCCCAGAACGGAAAGAGCACAGGAAUUCCGUGGAGUUUCAUGGUGGGGGUGAAAGGUCCCAACACAAGGGUGCUGUGCUGACAAGCAGUGGAAAAUAUGCAAUGCCAGCUCUUAAUGCGACAAAGAUUGCCUGAGCUGCCAGGGACCUGACCAACUGUUCAGGAUCUCCCCCCAAGGGCAGGAGGGCUGCAAGAGAAGGAAGCAGAGCAGAUGUGAACACCCACUGCCUGCAGAGACUCCCAGGACCCCCCUCCAGACCAUGCCAGCCCCACCCAUCUCUAUUUCCCUGGCCAGGAGGAGCAGGUCGCUGAGCUUCCUCCACGCCAGGAACUCUGCACAGGUGAGGAGGGUGUCCCUAGAGGCCUGCAGAGAAGCAGAGGCUGGGAGAUGGCACCACAGCUCAGGGACGAGACCUGGCAUCCUCCUCCGCUUGGCCAGGCUCCGAGCCCUUCCCAGCCCCUUACGGGAAGAGGCAGUGGGGGACAGAGACUGAACCGGGUUCAGUGCUGAGGGCAGGGACACGGGGCGGGCACCGCCUCAGGUAUCUCACGCUGCCGGCCAGCAGAACAGAGAUCCUCAAGAGCUGCCGAGCUCCUGCCAGGGAUGGGGCAGACUGAAGGGCAAGGGAGGAGUGCGCCCACGGCUGUAGGCAGCGAGGGCUGGAGUCCCAGAGCCCCUGGGGCAGGACGGAGCCAGCAGCACCUCCCCAUGGGCAUCCUCCAGCAGGACGCUUGGCUGCCCAGCUGGGGCUGCCCCAGCUCCUUCACGCCCAGGCUCCGGACAGGCAGAGCUUUGAUCCCACGAUGCAGUGCCAGGCCCCUUCUGGCUGCAUCUUCUUUCCCACUGCUCUCCCUGCCCCAGGCUGGGGAACAAGCUGGCUCUCCACCCCUUGGGAGUGCUGCACCUCUCUGCAGAGGCCAAGUUCACCAGCCCUAGGUGAGGGCACCUGCGUGAGCAGGGCUUUGUUUCUGCAGCGCUCCUGCUCUCAGGGAGCUGGGACACGCCCUGGCCCAAACAGCUGGGGGUCUCUUGGGCGCAGCCCUGGGGGACAGGGGUUGGGGCUCAAAGCCCAGGCCUCCCACACCUGCGGGGACAGCUGGGAAGCCUGUAGGGACUCGUGUGCUUGGUGGCCAUGGGCUGCUGCUGAGCCUUGCUGGAGCAGGCAGGGCAGG
Molecule: non-coding RNA, 1355 nt
Organism: Phalacrocorax carbo (great cormorant)
Lineage: Eukaryota; Metazoa; Chordata; Aves; Suliformes; Phalacrocoracidae
Source: RefSeq, a predicted model, not a curated record